RNAcentral lists this long non-coding RNA (647 nucleotides) under Anthonomus grandis grandis. RNAcentral describes it as "uncharacterized LOC126747963". The record is from RNAcentral. Lineage: Eukaryota; Metazoa; Arthropoda; Insecta; Coleoptera; Curculionidae.
UUGAACUAGAGAGAAUAAAACACACUUUUGCUUGUAACUAGUGUUAGGAGUGAGAUUAGAUUAGGGGAGUGGUACUGUAAUAAAGGGGAUGAUUUAAGGAUCGUUUCUAUCAAAUUUCAUGAAUAAACAAGGAUUAGGGACAAAGUUAUAAGCAUUCAAAGGUGUUGAACCAUUGAACUAGAGAGAAUAAAACACACUUUUGCUUGUAACUAGUGUUAGGAGUGAGAUUAGAUUAGGAGAGUUGUACUGUAAUAAAGGGGAUGAUUUAAGGAUCGUUUCUACCAAAUUUCAUGAAUAAACAAGGAUUAGGGACAAAGUUAUAAGCAUUCAAAGGUGUUGAACCAUUGAACUAGAGAGAAUAAAACACACUUUUGCUUGUAACUAGUGUUAGGAGUGAGAUUAGAUUAGGAGAGUUGUACUGUAAUAAAGGGGAUGAUUUAAGGAUCGUUUCUACCAAAUUUCAUGAAUAAACAAGGAUUAGGGACAAAGUUAUAAGCAUUCAAAGGUGUUGAACCAUUGAACUAGAGAGAAUAAAACACACUUUUGCUUGUAACUAGUGUUAGGAGUAAGAUUAGAUUAGGAGAGUUGUACUGUAAUAAAGGGGAUGAUUUAAGGAUCGUUUAUUCCAAAUUUCAUGAAUAAACAUG